CCUACACAUGCAAGUUGCACGGCGCCAUGCCUCUCGAGGAAUGGCGGAGUGGCGGACGGGUGAGGAACGCGUAAGGACCUGCCCCUGGGAGGGGGAUAACAGCUGGAAACGGCUGCUAAUACCCCAUAUCCUGAGGAGGGAAAGGAGAGAUCCGCCCAGGGAGGGGCUUGCGUCUGAUUAGCUAGUUGGGGGGGUAAUGGCCUCCCAAGGCAACGAUCAGUUGCUGGUCUGAGAGGAUGAUCAGCCACACUGGGACUGAGACACGGCCCAGACUCCUACGGGAGGCAGCAGUGAGGAAUCUUCCGCAAUGGGCGAAAGCCUGACGGGGCAAUGCCGCGUGGAGGAUGAAGGCCCAAUGGGUCGUAAACUUCUUUAGAUCAGAGACGAAGAGAUGACGGUACCUGAAGAACUAAGCAUCGGCUAAACCCCGUGCCAGCAGCCGCGGUAAGACGGGGGAUGCGAGCGUUAUCCGGAAUGGUUGGGCGUAAAGGGUCCGCAGGUGGCCCGGUCAGUCCGCUGUCAAAACCUGGGGCUCAACCCUGGACAGGCGGCGGAGACCACCGGGCUUGAGUCCGGUAGGG
Molecule: ribosomal RNA, 581 nt
Filed under: uncultured eukaryote
Lineage: Eukaryota
Description: bacterial SSU rRNA
Rfam family: Bacterial small subunit ribosomal RNA
Source: RNAcentral